UUGGAAGCGUGGUCAUUGCAUGGGUUUGUUUUCAUAGCAGUGACUGAAAGCUGGGCUUUGUUUUCGUAACAUUUGUGGCGGAAAUCUUGUUCUCACUGCCAUAUGCGAUUCGGAUUGUUAUUGAGCAUCUGCUCAAAAUGCCACACAAGUGCUGUAUGCCCUAUUGUAGGGGAAACUACGACAACGGUUUAAAAGUUAGCGUCUUUUCAUUCCCGUCUGAUGAAGCAUUAAGAUUGAAACGGAUCGCUGCAGUUCAUAGGAAUGACUGGGAACCCAGUAAACAGUUCGUUAUAUGUGAACUGCAUUUCACUGCAGACGACAUUGAGAAAAUUACCAGUGCUUACGACCCAAAACUGGCAAACUCUUUACAGUUUACAGCACCUUUGGACCGUCCACGUUUAAAGAAACGUUCGUGAAAAUUGAUCGUAAAGGAUGCUGUACCAUCAAAGUUGCCAGGAUGACCUACGUCUUUAUCUUCAAAACAAGCACCAGCUCGAGAAGAUUCAGAGAGUCGCGAAUGUUUGAAGAACCAAGCACUUGAGAAAGUCAUUGAGCAGAGUGUGGGAUCACACAAAAAAUG
This 580-nucleotide unclassified non-coding RNA is filed under the name Schistocerca americana (American grasshopper). RNAcentral's name for it is "tHAP domain-containing protein 1 B-like, transcript variant X2". Lineage: Eukaryota; Metazoa; Arthropoda; Insecta; Orthoptera; Acrididae. The record is from RNAcentral.